This 497-nucleotide ribosomal RNA is filed under the name uncultured bacterium. RNAcentral describes it as "partial 16S ribosomal RNA". It matches the Rfam family "Bacterial small subunit ribosomal RNA", at positions 28 to 507 of the family's 1533-position model. The record is from RNAcentral.
GAUGAACGCUGGCGGCGUGCCUAAUACAUGCAAGUCGAGCGAACGGACGAGAAGCUUGCUUCUCUGAUGUUAGCGGUGGACGGGUGAGUAACACGUGGAUAACCUACCUAUAAGACUGGGAUAACUUCGGGAAACCGGAGCUAAUACCGGAUAAUAUUUUGAACCGCAUGGUUCAAAAGUGAAAGACGGUCUUGCUGUCACUUAUAGAUGGAUCCGCGCCGCAUUAGCUAGUUGGUAAGGUAACGGCUUACCAAGGCAACGAUGCAUAGCCGACCUGAGAGGGUGAUCGGCCACACUGGAACUGAGACACGGUCCAGACUCCUACGGGAGGCAGCAGUAGGGAAUCUUCCGCAAUGGGCGAAAGCCUGACGGAGCAACGCCGCGUGAGUGAUGAAGGUCUUCGGAUCGUAAAACUCUGUUAUUAGGGAAGAACAUAUGUGUAAGUAACUGUGCACAUCUUGACGGUACCUAAUCAGAAAGCCACGGCUAACUACGUG